This 1305-nucleotide ribosomal RNA is filed under the name Enterococcus faecalis. Its description in RNAcentral is "partial 23S ribosomal RNA". It matches the Rfam family "Bacterial large subunit ribosomal RNA", at positions 411 to 1715 of the family's 2925-position model. The record is from RNAcentral. Lineage: Bacteria; Bacillati; Bacillota; Bacilli; Lactobacillales; Enterococcaceae. RNAcentral also lists the same sequence under 11 other names.
AGUACGGCGGAACACGAGAAAUUCCGUCGGAAUCCGCGGGGACCAUCCCGCAAGGCUAAAUACUCCCUAGUGACCGAUAGUGAACCAGUACCGUGAGGGAAAGGUGAAAAGCACCCCGGAAGGGGAGUGAAAUAGAUCCUGAAACCGUGUGCCUACAACAAGUCAAAGCUCGUUAAUGAGUGAUGGCGUGCCUUUUGUAGAAUGAACCGGCGAGUUACGAUUGCAUGCGAGGUUAAGUCGAAGAGACGGAGCCGCAGCGAAAGCGAGUCUGAAUAGGGCGAAUGAGUAUGUAGUCGUAGACCCGAAACCAUGUGAUCUACCCAUGUCCAGGUUGAAGGUGCGGUAAAACGCACUGGAGGACCGAACCCACGUACGUUGAAAAGUGCGGGGAUGAGGUGUGGGUAGCGGAGAAAUUCCAAACGAACUUGGAGAUAGCUGGUUCUCUCCGAAAUAGCUUUAGGGCUAGCCUCGGAAUUGAGAAUGAUGGAGGUAGAGCACUGUUUGGACUAGGGGCCCAUCUCGGGUUACCGAAUUCAGAUAAACUCCGAAUGCCAUUCAUUUAUAUCCGGGAGUCAGACUGCGAGUGAUAAGAUCCGUAGUCGAAAGGGAAACAGCCCAGACCACCAGCUAAGGUCCCAAAAUAUAUGUUAAGUGGAAAAGGAUGUGGGGUUGCACAGACAACUAGGAUGUUGGCUUAGAAGCAGCCACCAUUUAAAGAGUGCGUAAUAGCUCACUAGUCGAGUGACCCUGCGCCGAAAAUGUACCGGGGCUAAACAUAUUACCGAAGCUGUGGACUACACCAUUAGGUGUAGUGGUAGGAGAGCGUUCUAAGGGCGUUGAAGGUCGAUCGUGAGGACGGCUGGAGCGCUUAGAAGUGAGAAUGCCGGUAUGAGUAGCGAAAGACAGGUGAGAAUCCUGUCCACCGUAUGACUAAGGUUUCCUGGGGAAGGCUCGUCCGCCCAGGGUUAGUCGGGACCUAAGCCGAGGCCGAUAGGCGUAGGCGAUGGACAACAGGUUGAUAUUCCUGUACCAGUUGUUUUUGUUUGAGCAAUGGAGGGACGCAGUAGGCUAAGGAAUGCAUGCGAUUGGAAGUGCAUGUCCAAGCAAUGAGUCUUGAGUAGAGUUAAAUGCUUUACUCUCUAAGGACAAGUUGUGACGGGGAGCGAAAUAAUAGUAGCGAAGUUCCUGAUGUCACACUGCCAAGAAAAGCUUCUAGUGAGAAAACAACUGCCCGUACCGUAAACCGACACAGGUAGUCGAGGAGAGUAUCCUAAGGUGAGCGAGCGAACUCUCGUUAAGGAACUC